UACGUAGGGUGCAAGCGUUGUCCGGAAUUAUUGGGCGUAAAGAGCUCGUAGGCGGUUUGUCGCGUCUGCCGUGAAAGUCCGGGGCUCAACUCCGGAUCUGCGGUGGGUACGGGCAGACUAGAGUGAUGUAGGGGAGACUGGAAUUCCUGGUGUAGCGGUGAAAUGCGCAGAUAUCAGGAGGAACACCGGUGGCGAAGGCGGUUCUCUGGGCCUUACCUGACGCUGAGGAGCGAAAGCGUGGGGAGCAAACAGG
RNAcentral lists this ribosomal RNA (253 nucleotides) under uncultured bacterium. RNAcentral describes it as "partial 16S ribosomal RNA". It matches the Rfam family "Bacterial small subunit ribosomal RNA", at positions 524 to 776 of the family's 1533-position model. The record is from RNAcentral.